GGAAGCGUAUCGAAGUGGUCAUAACGGCCCCGACUCGAAAUCGGGUAAUCCAGAGAUGGGUUCGUGGGUUCGAAUCCCACCGCUUCCGCCA
Molecule: transfer RNA, 91 nt
Filed under: Clostridia bacterium
Lineage: Bacteria; Bacillati; Bacillota; Clostridia
Description: tRNA-Ser
Rfam family: tRNA
About the family: Transfer RNA (tRNA) molecules are approximately 80 nucleotides in length.
Source: RNAcentral